Long non-coding RNA from Lotus japonicus, 910 nucleotides. RefSeq lists it as uncharacterized. The record is from RefSeq and is a predicted model, not a curated record. The transcript has 4 exons. NCBI's taxonomy places the organism in Eukaryota, Viridiplantae, Streptophyta, Magnoliopsida, Fabales, Fabaceae.
GUCCCUUUCUUUCUUCUCUUUUCUUUUUCUUUUGUUGCUGCACUUCACCAUUCUUCCUUCCUUCCAUGAGUACUCACACACCAUCAUUAUUAUUCCUCAUCCUCUCAUCACCGUGAAUACACACACACACAAACCUCAAAUAAUUAAUUGAUCUCCUUUCUCUAUUCCCUGUGAGCUGGCCGUGAGCAAGGAGAAAGUGGGGAUUUUUGCACCGUUUCGUCGAUUCUUGUCCGAUUGUUCCGAUUUCAGUUUACAUGGAUCGACAGCAAGAUCUACCUUCUACUACUACCCAACAAGCUAAAUCUCUUGCUGAUGCGCGCCGAUUUCGACCGAGUCGCCGUGGAUCUGAAAAACGGUUCUUUGUGGAAACUUUGGGGUUGACAGAGCAAAUUUGUGAGUGUGACCUGCACCGCGAGACUGGAACAACUCGAGCUGUUUCGAGAUGAUUCAUCACUCGGGGAGGACCAGGAGCGUAACGACUACUACUAAACCAUUCAGCGAGGACCCGGACGGAAUGCAUGAUCCGAUGAGGGUCGAUGGUAGGAGUGUAGGUAUGAGUGUAUAGAGUCUUUCAAGGUUAGGUGUUAUUGUUAUAGCUCUGACUAGUCGAAUCUAUAUUUGGGGCAGGGUAGGUCCCCGACACAUUACUUUUUGUGUGGUUCUCUGUCAUGGGGAUCACAGAGAGUAGUCGGACAUUAGGAGGUCUGAAGGAGGCCGUUUUGGGCUGACUCUCUCAUGUUUUGGAGGACUGUACUUAUAACUUCUCACUUGAUUUCUGGAUUUGAACUUAUUCUGCCUUCGGGCUCCCUUUCUGUCACUUGCUGAUACUCGUGACACUUUGGGGUUACCGCAGGGCUGUAAUAGUAUUGUAAAUUAGUUUAUGUUUAUCGCGUCUUGGGUUGUGUCUCUA